CUACGGGAGGCUGCAGUCGAGGAAAUUUUACAAUGCUCGCAAGAGUGAUAGAAUAAACCAGAGUGUUUCUUUUAAAGAAACUUUUGUAUGUUGUAAAAAGACAUGCGAAUAAGGACUGGGCAAGACCGGUGCCAGCCGCCGCGGUAAUACCGGCGGUCCAAGUCGUAUCCACAUUUAUUGGGUCUAAAACAUUCGUAGCUUGUUUUGUAAGUUUCUUGUGAAAUUUAACAUCUCAAAUGUUAAGUGUGCAAGAAAUACUACAUUGCUAGAGACCGGAAGAUGCAAAGAGUAUGGUUGAGGUAGCGGUAAAAUGUGUUAAUCUCAAUUAGACUAACAAUGGCGAAGGCACUUUGCAAGUACGGAUCUGACAGUGAGGGAUGAAGGCUAGGGGCGCAAAACGGAUUAGAUACCCUAGUAGUC
RNAcentral lists this ribosomal RNA (420 nucleotides) under uncultured archaeon. RNAcentral describes it as "partial 16S ribosomal RNA". It matches the Rfam family "Archaeal small subunit ribosomal RNA", at positions 323 to 746 of the family's 1478-position model. The record is from RNAcentral.